UUUCCGUAGGUGAACCUGCGGAAGGAUCAUUAGCGAAGUCAAGUCCGGAUCUUGUAGGGAUUGCAGCUGGCCUUAACGGGCAUGUGCUCGUCCCUCGGGUCCGUGACCUUCACUACCACACACCCCACUGUGAACCAAGCGGGAGGUCGAAAGGCCUCUUGCAUCUCAUACAAACCCCGAUCGCAUGUAUCAGAAUGUCAUAGCGUUAACUCGCAACUUAUACAACUUUCAACAACGGAUCUCUUGGCUCUCGCAUCGAUGAAGAACGCAGC
This 272-nucleotide unclassified non-coding RNA is filed under the name uncultured fungus. RNAcentral's name for it is "sequence contains ITS1, 5.8S rRNA gene". The stretch from base 224 to 272 matches the Rfam family "5.8S ribosomal RNA", at positions 1 to 49 of the family's 154-position model. The record is from RNAcentral. Lineage: Eukaryota; Fungi.